This 466-nucleotide ribosomal RNA is filed under the name uncultured bacterium. RNAcentral describes it as "partial 16S ribosomal RNA". It matches the Rfam family "Bacterial small subunit ribosomal RNA", at positions 339 to 795 of the family's 1533-position model. The record is from RNAcentral.
CUACGGGAGGCUGCAGUGGGGAAUAUUGGACAAUGGGGGAAACCCUGAUCCAGCAAUGCCGCGUGUGUGAAGAAGGCCUGCGGGUUGUAAAGCACUUUCGGUUGGGAGGACUGCUUCUAGCACUAAUAUUGUUGGAAGUUGACGUUACCUUCAGAAGAAGCACCGGCUAGCUCCGUGCCAGCAGCCGCGGUAAUACGGAGGUGUGCAAGCGUUAAUCGGAAUUACUGGGCGUAAAGCGCGCGUAGGCGGCUAGAUCAGUCGGGUGUGAAAGCCCCGGGCUUAACCUGGGAACUGCAUCCGAUACUGUCUAGCUUGAGUACAGGAGAGGAGAGUGGAAUUCCACAUGUAGCGGUGAAAUGCGUAGAUAUGUGGAGGAACACCAAUGGCGAAGGCAGCUCUCUGGCCUGAUACUGACGCUGAGGUGCGAAAGCGUGGGGAGCAAACAGGAUUAGAUACCCCUGUAGUC